UCCCCUAGUAACGGCGAGUGAAGCGGGAAGAGCUCAUGUUGUAAAUCUCCAGCUUGCUGGCGAAUUGUAGUCUAAAGGUGCGUGCUCAGUCGUGGUCCCGGGCUAAGUCUGUUGGAAAACAGCAUCAUGGACGGUGACAAUCCGGUUCUUGCCUGGGGUCCCGCGGCGUACGAGCCGUUUCCGACGAGUCGUGUUGCUUGGGAUUGCAGCACUAAGUGGGUGGUAAAUUCCAUCUAAAGCUAAAUAUUGGUGGGAGACCGAUAGCGAACAAGUACCGUGAGGGAAAGAUGAAAAGACUUUUGAAAAGAGAGUAAAAUAGUACCUGAAACUGCUGAAAGGGAAGCGAUUGAAGUCAGUGUUGCUCCUGGUCUUUUUGCCGUCGCCCCCGUGGGGGUUGCGGCGUGGGGCCUGGAGCGUUUCAACAUGCGUUCUGUUCCGCGGGAAAUGUUCAGUGUGCUGGAACCUUCGGGGAAACGCACUGUUCUUGUCGUGGUUAGGACGGAGGACCUUUGCUCCUUUGACUGCGCGUUCCUCUCUCGGGUAUGCUGGUGUCUACUGCUUGCAGUUUUCAUUUUCAUGCUUGCGACUGUGCGUGUUAUUCAUGAGCGAACAUGAUGUUGAAGAAAUGGCUUUUAAUUACCCCGUCUU
RNAcentral lists this ribosomal RNA (648 nucleotides) under Heterosigma akashiwo. Its description in RNAcentral is "eukaryotic LSU rRNA". It matches the Rfam family "Eukaryotic large subunit ribosomal RNA", at positions 76 to 655 of the family's 3401-position model. The record is from RNAcentral. Lineage: Eukaryota; Raphidophyceae; Chattonellales; Chattonellaceae.